CCUGCAGGAAAGGACAUCAACCGAGACUCCGCAAGUAGUGGCGAGCGAACGCGGACCAGGCCAGUGGCAAUGAGGAAUAAAGUGGAACGACAUGGAAAGGUCGGCCGUAGAGGGUGAUAGCCCCUUACACGUAGAACACUCAUUGUCCUUGAGUAAGGCGGGACACGUGAAAUCCUGUCUGAACAUGGGGAGACCACUCUCCAAGCCUAAGUACUCGUGCAUGACCGAUAGCGAACAAGUACCGUGAGGGAAAGGUGAAAAGCACCCCGACAAGGGGAGUGAAAUAGAACCUGAAACCGGAUGCCUACAAACAGUUGGAGCCCGCAAGGGUGACAGCGUACCUUUUGUAUAAUGGGUCAACGACUUAGUGUGACGAGCAAGCUUAAGCCGAUAGGUGAAGGCGCAGCGAAAGCGAGUCUGAACAGGGCGUUCAGUUCGUCGCAUUAGACCCGAAACCGAGUGAUCUAGCCAUGAGCAGGUUGAAGGUUGGGUAACACCAACUGGAGGACCGAACCCGCAUCUGUUGCAAUAGAUUGGGAUGACUUGUGGUUAGGGGUGAAAGGCCAAUCAAACUCGGAAAUAGCUGGUUCUCCGCGAAAACUAUUUAGGUAGUGCGUCGACCGAAUACCCUCGGGGGUAGAGCACUGGAUGGGCUAUGGGGACUCACCGUCUUACUGAUCCUAACCAAACUCCGAAUACCGAGGAGUACUAGUCGGCAGACACACGGCGGGUGCUAACGUCCGUCGUGAAAAGGGCAACAACCCUGACCUCCAGCUAAGGUCCCCAAGUCAUGGCUAAGUGGGAAAGGAUGUGAGGAUCCCAAAACAACCAGGAUGUUGGCUUAGAAGCAGCCAUCAUUUAAAGAAAGCGUAACAGCUCACUGGUCUAAAUAAGGGUCUUUGCGCCGAAAAUGUAACGGGGCUAAAGCCAUGCACCGAAGCUGAGGAUACGUCGCAAGACGUGUGGUAGCGGAGCGUUCCGUAAGCCUGUGAAGGGAUACCCGUGAGGGGUCCUGGAGGUAUCGGAAGUGCGAAUGUUGACAUGAGUAACGAUAAAGAGGGUGAGAGACCCUCUCGCCGAAAGACCAAGGGUUCCUGCUUAAAGUUAAUCUGAGCAGGGUUAGCCGGCCCCUAAGACGAGGCGGACACGCGUAGUCGAUGGGAACCACGUUAAUAUUCGUGGGCCUGGUGGUAGUGACGGAUCGCUUAACUUGUUCACACUUAUUGGAUUGUGUGGGCGGGGACGCGGUUCCAGGAAAUAGCUCCACCGUAUAGACCGUACCCGAAACCGACACAGGUGGUCAGGUAGAGUAUACCAAGGCGCUUGAGAGAACUAUGCUGAAGGAACUCGGCAAAUUGCACGCGUAACUUCGGAAGAAGCGUGACCCCAAGGGACGCAAGUCUGUUGGGGUGGCACAGACCAGGGGGUAGCGACUGUUUAUCAAAAACACAGGGCUCUGCGAAGUCGCAAGACGACGUAUAGGGUCUGACGCCUGCCCGGUGCUGGAAGGUUAAGAGGAGGGGUGCAAGCUCUGAAUCGAAGCCCCAGUAAACGGCGGCCGUAACUAUAACGGUCCUAAGGUAGCGAAAUUCCUUGUCGGGUAAGUUCCGACCUGCACGAAUGGCGUAACGACUUCCCCGCUGUCUCCAGCAUAGACUCAGUGAAAUUGAAUUCCCCGUGAAGAUGCGGGGUUCCUGCGGUCAGACGGAAAGACCCCGUGCACCUUUACUAUAGCUUUACACUGGCAUUCGUGUCGGCAUGUGUAGGAUAGGUGGUAGGCUUUGAAGCAGGGACGCCAGUUCUUGUGGAGCCAUCCUUGAAAUACCACCCUUAUCGUCAUGGAUGUCUAACCGCGGUCCGUUAUCCGGAUCCGGGACAGUGUAU
RNAcentral lists this ribosomal RNA (1884 nucleotides) under Ensifer adhaerens. RNAcentral describes it as "bacterial LSU rRNA". It matches the Rfam family "Bacterial large subunit ribosomal RNA", at positions 209 to 2259 of the family's 2925-position model. The record is from RNAcentral. Lineage: Bacteria; Pseudomonadati; Pseudomonadota; Alphaproteobacteria; Hyphomicrobiales; Rhizobiaceae.